This 1005-nucleotide ribosomal RNA is filed under the name bacterium. RNAcentral's name for it is "bacterial SSU rRNA". It matches the Rfam family "Bacterial small subunit ribosomal RNA", at positions 288 to 1270 of the family's 1533-position model. The record is from RNAcentral.
CGAUCCUGAGAGGGGUGAUCGGCCCACACUGGGACUGAGACACGGUACCAGACUCCUACGGGAGGCAGCAGUAGGGAAUAAUUCCGCAAUGGACGAAAGUCCGACGGAGCAACGCCGCGUGAGUGAUGAAGGUUUUCGGAUCGUAAAACUGUGUUGUUAGUCGAAGAACAAGUACCGUUCGAAUAGGACGGUUCCUUGACGGUACCUAACCAGAAAGCCACGGCUAACUACGUGCCAGCAGCCGCGGUAAUACGUAGGUGCCAAGCGUUGUCCGGGAAUUAUUGGGCGUAAAGCGCGCGCAAGCGGUUUCUUAAGUCUGAUGUGAAAGCCCCCGCCUCAACCGGGGAGGGUCAUUGGAACCUGGGGAACUUGAGUGCAGAAGAGGAGAGUGGAAUUCCACGUGUAGCGGUGAAAUGCGUAGAGAUGUGGAGGAACACCAGUGGCGAAGGCGACUCUCUGGUCUGUAACUGACGCUGAGGCGCGAAAGCGUGGGGAGCGAACAGGAUUAGAUACCCUGGUAGUCCACGCCGUAAACGAUGAGUGCUAAGUGUUAGAGGGUUUCCGCCCUUUAGUGCUGCAGCAAACGCAUUAAGCACUCCCGCCUGGGGAGUACGGUUCGCAAGACUGAAACUCAAAGGAAUUGACGGGGGCCCGCACAAGCGGUGGAGCAUGUGGUUUAAUUCGAAGCAACGCGAAGAACCUUACCAGGUCCUUGACAUCCUGUGACAACCCUAGGAGAUAGGGCUUCCCCUUCAGGGGCAGAGUGACAGGUGGUGCAUGGUUGUCGUCAGCUCGUGUCGUGAGAUGUUGGGUUAAGUCCAGCAACGAGCGCAACCCUUGAUCUUAGUUGCCAGCAUGUCAGUUGGGCACUACUAAGGCUGACUGGCGGUGACGACCCGAGAGAAAGGUGGGGAUGACGUCAGAUCAUCUUGCCCCUUAUAACCUGGGCUAGACACGUGCAACAAUGUGGCAGAACAAAGGGCAGCGGAACCCCGGAGAGGGCUA